Long non-coding RNA from Formica exsecta, 3071 nucleotides. RefSeq lists it as uncharacterized. NCBI's taxonomy places the organism in Eukaryota, Metazoa, Arthropoda, Insecta, Hymenoptera, Formicidae. The record is from RefSeq and is a predicted model, not a curated record. The transcript is spliced from 3 exons.
AUAGUAGUGUGAAAAUGAACAUUUAUUACGCAUUCGAAUUUUUAAUAAAAUUUUCAACUAUUUCCAGUUGUCUUUAGUAUGUAUAUAUCAUGAUAUGAAGAAUGGUAAAACAUCUCUCUUGUCACGGUGGUCGCAAAUAUUUUUAACAAGAAACAGCUCGAAAGUCAUGAUUCGCGAGGACUGUGCUCACCGAAUCGUAUACGAGAAUCUGGAUGUUUUGUUUGCAAUAGCAAAGUUGAAGGAUGCUUAAUAAAUAGACCGAGCUACUUUCUAACCUGUUUAUUUCGAUAUUUAUACACUUGCAGAGCGUGGAAUAUCUCAUUAUGAUAAUAACAUAUGAUAACAUAAAUUAUUAUUCGAUUUAAUUUUAUCACAUGAAUACUUCUCGACUAGAGUUUCGUAUUCAACACUUUCUUCCAGAAAAAAAAAUAGAGAGGAAAUGCAGAUACAGUAAAAGAUUGGAUGCUUACAAUUACGGAAUGUUUACGCGAUUCAAAAAGAAUUUGACCAAGGAUCAAAUAUAAAUAUCACUGAUACAUCUGUAAAAACUACACAAUAAUAUAGAGUAAAUGUAAUAGUAAUACAACAGAUUUUAUUUUAAAGAAAUUCUAUAUGUUUUAUAUUUAUAUAAAUGACAUAAACAGAAAUGUAUUUUAAAACUAUAUUGUUUAUUGAUGAGGAUAUAAUUCAUAAUAUAUGCAAUCAAAGACUUCACAAAUUUUAAAUUUGUUCAUUACGUCUUAAAAGAUGAAGAUUAUUAAAAGAAAAUUUUAAUAAAUUUGGCAUUAAAGUAAAACUAGUGCUAAAUAAAAAAUUAAUUAUGUGAGUUAUUAUACAAUAUUAAUUACUGUAUGCAUUAUAAAAACUGUAAAAAUAGUCGUUCAUUGAAAGUUCAUAGAAUACAAAAGCUUUCAAGAAGAAAAAAAUAUUUUUGAAGUAAUAUAAAAAUAUAUGUUAAAUAAAAAGAGAGAGAAUAUAAAUAUGUAUCUCAAAUAUUAUAAAUUUGAAAUACUUCUCAUUUGUUCAUAAAAUUGAGAAUUUAUUGCAAGAGAUUUCUCGGUAGAACUACAAAAUACUCUAUAUAAUUAUUUUAUUUUAUUAGAAAAAUAACAAACGAUAUAUAGAAUAAUUUUUAUUAAUAUUAUAUAUUUAUUGAUUUUAAAAAUAAUUGUUUUAUUUUGAACUAACUUUGUGAAUAUUAUGAUAUAAUUAUGCCGAUUCUUAUUUUGAUAUAGAAAUAUCUUUUUUUUCGAUUAAAUGAGACAUUAUACUAUGGAUAAUAAUAUCGAUUAGGUAGAAAAUAGACGAGAGAUCGAAAUAUCCCUGGAUGUACUUUAAUUUUAUUAUAUGAUCUCGCAUUAAACACAGGAAUUGGUUAAUAUUUAAAUAUGGAUUUAUUCCAAAUUUUGUUGUUACUUCUUGAAGAUACAAUGAUGUUACUGAAUGAAGAGUUUGAUUUAAAUUUAUCAUGAAUAUUGUUCCCUGCAUCUUAUGAAGUUAGUUUUAUUUUGAUCGAUUCUUCAAAGAUAUGAUAAGAAGAAUCGAGAAAAACAGUAAUAUUGUUAUCACUAGUUUUUUCUUCCUUUUCUUCUACAUAUAUGAUUUUUUCAGUAUAGCUUUUUCUUGCAUUAUAAUUAUUCUUAUAAUAAUUCUAUAAUUAAUUAGGAAUUAUUGAAUUUCCUUCUUCUUUAAAAAAUAAAUUUUUUUGAAGAUUAUCAGUUUGAUUUGUCGAGCUUGGAAAACUGUGAUUCGUAAAUAAAGAUAUGAUAGCAUGAAGAGACUUUUGGUUAUCUCCUUCAUCAUAAUAAGAUAAUAAGAUUGUCUCAAAAAUGAAAAUCUUCGCAGCAAGUCGUUAUCGCCUGAUAAUGCAUAGCUCUUGUUCAAGUUUGAUCUGCGAGGCGCGCAUGCUGCUGACCCUUCAAAUUUAUGAUUUAUGGCCCUUACUAUAUACAUAUAAAUAAUUAUUUUUUCCCAUUUAUUAUUCUUAUUAAGUAACUAUGAUUAUUUCUAGGAUUGACAUAAAAAAUGUAUUUACCAAAUUUAAAUUAUUUAUGUAUAAUUAGCAAAUUAUCAUAAAUUCUCUUAGUCCAUAAUACUUUCCUAUUUUUCAGAAUGUUUUCAUUUAUUUACAAGGUUGACAAAUAUACGUUUGACUUUGAUUGCAGUCUAGUCAAGCAUUAUAUAAUGGGAGUGUAAUCUGUAUGAUCAAAGUUCAAGCAAUUUGCAUCAUUAUUGUGACGUUGACCAGCUGAGCAUCAUGGAACAAAGCUUGCAUCCAUUUCAGAAAUUAGCUCGCCAGUACUUUCCCAAUUUCAUUUCCAGAAUGACGUAUCAUUGAACAUCGACAAUUUACGUUUGCCAUCAAUCUAGAUAUGCCGCAGUUCUGCAAUUAUCAAGCAUAUGAAAUAAGUAAUUAAACAUAAUCUGAAAUAAGUAAUUAAACAUAAUCUGAAAUUCGUAAUUUAUGAUUAAAUUUACAGAUACAGAUAAUUUUUAUGAUAUAUUAUUCUGUGAAAAAUCAAGAUAUCAUUUCUUUCAUUUAAUGCAUACAUAACAUUCUACUUAAUUUUAUAUGAGAAACUUAAGAAAUAUAUUUAACAAUAUUCAAAAAUAUAAUUAUUAAAAUACAGAUUGUAAACGUCUGUAAUAAUUUGUUCCUGUUCUUUAGAGAUGCUAUCAAUUUUUAAAUAUUUGUAAUAUAUAAAUAAAAUAAUACAUAUAGAAUUAUCUGAAUUUAGAAUAUAAUAAUUGUUAUAAAUAUAAAAUUAUACUAAGGUAAAUUUAAUAUUGAUUGAACAUUUUUAUCUCUAUAUACUUCUCUUGAAUUUAUUAUAAAAUCGGAAAGUAGAAGCCUGACUUACCGUAUGCCAAUCCAUUCACCAUUUCUACCAUUCCUGCGCUAUCCGGUGCUGUUGUCGAUGAUUUUAAUAAUGCUAUGAAUUCAAAUAGUAGAGUAAUCUAUAUAUAAGAAAUACAUAACAAUUUGGUGACUUUAAUGCGUGUUGAACGAUGUCUUGAUUACAAUGAUUCUGUAUUUAUAUAUAUAUACAAUAAAUAAUAUAAUAAAUAAU